AUUGAACGCUGGCGGCAGGCCUAGCACAUGCAAGUCGAACGGUAGCACAGAGAGCUUGCUCUCGGGUGACGAGUGGCGGACGGGUGAGUAAUGUCUGGGAAACUGCCCGAUGGAGGGGGAUAACUACUGGAAACGGUAGCUAAUACCGCAUAACGUCGCAGGACCAAAGUGGGGGACCUUCGGGCCUCACACCAUCGGAUGUGCCCAGAUGGGAUUAGCUAGUAGGUGGGGUAAGGGCUCACCUAGGCGACGAUCCCUAGCUGGUCUGAGAGGAUGACCAGCCACACUGGAACUGAGACACGGUCCAGACUCCUACGGGAGGCAGCAGUGGGGAAUAUUGCACAAUGGGCGCAAGCCUGAUGCAGCCAUGCCGCGUGUAUGAAGAAGGCCUUCGGGUUGUAAAGUACUUUCAGCGGGGAGGAAGGCGGUGAGGUUAAUAACCUCGCCGAUUGACGUUACCCGCAGAAGAAGCACCGGCUAACUCCGUGCCAGCCGCCGCCGUAA
This 504-nucleotide ribosomal RNA is filed under the name uncultured bacterium. RNAcentral's name for it is "partial 16S ribosomal RNA". It matches the Rfam family "Bacterial small subunit ribosomal RNA", at positions 29 to 523 of the family's 1533-position model. The record is from RNAcentral.